GAAGUUCUCACAAACUAGAAGACAAAUUCCGUCCACUUACUUGACCAUUUGACGCAGGAAAACAACAUUCCCUGUUCGGUAGUAGUUGUCGAUCUCCUCCGAAGUUCGCUGGAAGGAAGAAUGGUCCCCUCUGGCGAUGUCCCUCUAAGACAUGUUAGAUCCACGAAUUCGAUCCGGAAGUGGAGACUACAGUCUGAAGUUUCUGAAGAAAAGAGGUUACUUCAAGACGUCUCUCAAAGCACUGCCUUGACCCAUCUAAUAUGGCGGCGACGUUGACGUACGGCUCAGCGCUCCAUGCGGCGUCUCCUUAACUUAAAAAGAGAAAAAGGGAGUGAAGCUGUGUGGACAGCAGCCAGCCACAGCCAAUGCAGUCAUAAUCAACUCGAGCUAUGGUCCCUGUCUCGCCAGCACCGGGCAAAGGCGUUGGAGCUAACACAAAACCUGGCCUGGGAACACCUUGGUGUCCUCCUGGUUGAACUGAAGGAGGUGGUGGGAGACCGUGAAGUCUGGGACUGCUGCCCCUGCGACCCCGAUAAGUGGAGGAAAUCAACUUUCUGAAUACAGACAACAUAAGAUGCACCACAGCUGACACUGGAGCAACAAGCAGUGGGAUUUCUGCACAAGAUUUUUUUUUGUACAUUUCAAGAGUAUUCAUCCCAAUGGACUGCAGCCCGAGAGCUUAGGGACCAGCGGAAAGUCAUUUGAAGGUGACUGAAAAGACACUGUCGGCCAUGUACUCCUGGUAAAUACCACCGAAAACUAUGUUUUAUGUAUUUUCCAAUGCCCUUCAGCACAAAUCCAGCCUUUAAGUUGGUGUAUAUCCACUCAAGCUACUUUGAAAAACUUUCUUUUUAUCUCA
Molecule: non-coding RNA, 859 nt
Organism: Doryrhamphus excisus (bluestripe pipefish)
Lineage: Eukaryota; Metazoa; Chordata; Actinopteri; Syngnathiformes; Syngnathidae
Source: RefSeq, a predicted model, not a curated record